GACGAACGCUGGCGGCGUGCUUAACACAUGCAAGUCGAACGGAAAGGCCCUGCUUUUGGGGGUGGUUCGAGUGGCACACGUGUGAGUAACACGAGUAUAACCCGCUCUUCACUUGGGUAAAACUGCGAGACACGGUGUCUUACAGCGUAUUAGUGCCUGUGGCGCGGGGGGGGGUGUGGAAGGUUUAGGGGGUUUGGGAUGGCCUCGCGGCUUAUCAGCUUGUUGGUGGGGUAGUGGCUUACCAAGGCGUCGACGGGUAGCCGGCCUGGGAGGGUGACCGGCCACAUUGGGCCUGGGAUACGGCCCAGACUCCUCCGGGGGGCAGCAGUGGGGAAUAUUGCACAAUGGGCGGAAGCCUGAUGCAGCACCGCCGCGGGCGGGAUGACGGCCUUCGGGUUGUAACCCGCUUUAGCAUGUGACGAAGCGUGAGUGACGGUAAUGGGUAAAGAAGCACCGGCUAACUACGUG
This 468-nucleotide ribosomal RNA is filed under the name uncultured bacterium. RNAcentral's name for it is "partial 16S ribosomal RNA". It matches the Rfam family "Bacterial small subunit ribosomal RNA", at positions 28 to 507 of the family's 1533-position model. The record is from RNAcentral.